Astatotilapia calliptera (eastern happy) is the source of this 781-nucleotide long non-coding RNA. NCBI's taxonomy places the organism in Eukaryota, Metazoa, Chordata, Actinopteri, Cichliformes, Cichlidae. The record is from Ensembl.
CUUUUUCUUCAGUUCCAGUUUAAGUUUCAUGAUGUUUUUUCACCCGUUUCAGAGUUUAUAAUGGGUGUGUAUGGGACGGAAUGUUGGGGCUAGAGUGAGGCAGCUCAACUGCUAGAGUGAGAGGAGCAAAAAAAAUAAUCUUAAAAUCUUUUUUAAAACUGCUGCUGUGUCCGCAGCGUUUGCUCUACAGGUAUGAUUUUACCCUCAAAACGUAGCCAUGGCUGUCCUCUUUCAUCCAAUGUGUUUACUAUUGUACUAGGUGUUAUGGUUCUUUCAUAAAUGCCACCAAUGCACAGCCUCCUCCCUCCAACUCUUCCAUAGACUCUAAUGUUAAAAUGGCUCAGAAGGUUCGUUUGAAAAUCAGAAGAGCAUGGUGUCUUUCCACUGUCACCACGUCCAUAUAAUAAACUCCACAGACAUGAAAACUGAGAAUUUGGUAGACUAGACAUUGCUGUCGCUCACAGUGAAAGAAUUUUGUCAAUACGACUUUUACUUUUCAUUUGGGAACGAUUUGUUUCGGCCUGACUUUUCUGUUCAUUUUAAGCAGCAAAAUGAGGUGCAUGUCUGUGUACGUGUGUAUGGAGCCAUUGGGUGCGGUCACUAUAGCAACCAGGCUCACACCUGCCUGCUUAACGAGCUCUCUCUGCCACUCUGCCAAAAUUAAUCUUAAACACUUCUCUUUCAACUGCUGCUGUGUCCACAGUGUUAAAGCCAUCAUUUUACCCUCAAAACGUCGCCAUCGUUGUUCUUUUUCCAACAUCUUGUCUUUCAAAGCUCAGAG